Molecule: transfer RNA, 81 nt
Filed under: Nonomuraea thailandensis
Lineage: Bacteria; Bacillati; Actinomycetota; Actinomycetes; Streptosporangiales; Streptosporangiaceae
Description: tRNA-Tyr
Source: RNAcentral
GCGCGAGCUGGGCACGUGGCGAGCCCACCCGGCUGUAGACCGGGCGCUUCGGCUGUGGCGGUCCGACUCCGUCCUCGCGCA